This 730-nucleotide ribosomal RNA is filed under the name uncultured bacterium. RNAcentral describes it as "bacterial SSU rRNA". It matches the Rfam family "Bacterial small subunit ribosomal RNA", at positions 771 to 1501 of the family's 1533-position model. The record is from RNAcentral.
AACAGGAUUAGAUACCCUGGUAGUCCACGCCGUAAACGAUGAGUGCUAGGUGUUGGGGGGCUACGCCCCUCAGUGCCGAAGGUAACCCAUUAAGCACUCCGCCUGGGGAGUACGGCCGCAAGGCUGAAACUCAAAGGAAUUGACGGGGGCCCGCACAAGCGGUGGAGCAUGUGGUUUAAUUCGAAGCAACGCGAAGAACCUUACCAGGGCUUGACAUCCCGCUGACCCCUCCAGAGAUGGAGGUUUCCUUCGGGACAGCGGUGACAGGUGGUGCAUGGUUGUCGUCAGCUCGUGUCGUGAGAUGUUGGGUUCAGUCCCGCAACGAGCGCAACCCUUGUCGUUAGUUGCCAGCAUUUCGGAUGGGCACUCUAACGAGACAGCCGGUGAAAGCCGGAGGAAGGUGGGGAUGACGUCAAAUCAUCAUGCCCCUUAUGUCCAGGGCUACACACGUGCUACAAUGGCUGGUACAAAGGGCAGCGAACCCGCGAGGGGGAGCCAAUCCCAAAAAGCCAGUCUCAGUUCGGAUCGCAGGCUGCAACUCGCCUGCGUGAAGCCGGAAUCGCUAGUAAUCGCGGAUCAGCAUGCCGCGGUGAAUAUGUUCCCGGGCCUUGUACACACCGCCCGUCACACCACGAGAGUUCGCAACACCCGAAGUCGGUGAGGCAACCUUUUAGGAGCCAGCCGCCGAAGGUGGGGCAGAUGAUUGGGGUGAAGUCGUAACAAGGUAACC